RNAcentral lists this ribosomal RNA (483 nucleotides) under uncultured bacterium. RNAcentral describes it as "partial 16S ribosomal RNA". It matches the Rfam family "Bacterial small subunit ribosomal RNA", at positions 28 to 507 of the family's 1533-position model. The record is from RNAcentral.
GACGAACGCUGGCGGCGUGCUUAACACAUGCAAGUCGAACGCUGAAGCUCAGCUUUUGUUGGGUGGAUGAGUGGCGAACGGGUGAGUAACACGUGAGUAACCUGCCCCCUUCUUUGGGAUAACGCCCGGAAACGGGUGCUAAUACUGGAUAUUCACUGGUCUUCGCAUGGGGGUUGGUGGAAAGGGUUUUUCUGGUGGGGGAUGGGCUCGCGGCCUAUCAGCUUGUUGGUGGGGUGAUGGCCUACCAAGGCUUUGACGGGUAGCCGGCCUGAGAGGGUGACCGGUAACAUUGGGACUGAGAUACGGCCCAGACUCCUACGGGAGGCAGCAGUGGGGAAUAUUGCACAAUGGGCGCAAGCCUGAUGCAGCGACGCCGCGUGAGGGAUGGAGGCCUUCGGGUUGUGAACCUCCUUCGCUCAUGGUCAAGCCGCAACAAUGGUUGUGGUGAGGGUAGUGGGUAAAGAAGCGCCGGCUAACUACGUG